Molecule: ribosomal RNA, 233 nt
Filed under: uncultured bacterium
Lineage: Bacteria
Description: partial 16S ribosomal RNA
Rfam family: Bacterial small subunit ribosomal RNA
Source: RNAcentral
GAUCCUGGCUCAGGAUGAACGCUAGCGACAGGCUUAACACAUGCAAGUCGAGGGGCAUCAUGAGGUAGCAAUACCUUGAUGGCGACCGGCGCACGGGUGAGUAACGCGUAUGCAACCUGCCCGAUGCCGGGGUAUAGCCCAUGGAAACGGGGAUUAACACCCCAUAGUACUUUUAUCCUGCAUGGGAUGUGAGUUAAAUGUUCAAGGUAUCGGAUGGGCAUGCGUCCUAUUAG